This 468-nucleotide ribosomal RNA is filed under the name uncultured bacterium. RNAcentral's name for it is "partial 16S ribosomal RNA". It matches the Rfam family "Bacterial small subunit ribosomal RNA", at positions 28 to 507 of the family's 1533-position model. The record is from RNAcentral.
GACGAACGCUGGCGGCGUGCUUAACACAUGCAAGUCGAACGGAAAGGCCCUGCUUUUGUGGGGUGCUCGAGUGGCGAACGGGUGAGUAACACGUGAGUAACCUGCCCUUGACUUUGGGAUAACUUCAGGAAACUGGGGCUAAUACCGGAUAGGAGCUCCUGCUGCAUGGUGGGGGUUGGAAAGUUUCGGCGGUUGGGGAUGGACUCGCGGCUUAUCAGCUUGUUGGUGGGGUAGUGGCUUACCAAGGCUUUGACGGGUAGCCGGCCUGAGAGGGUGACCGGGCACAUUGGGACUGAGAUACGGACCAGACUCCUACGGGAGGCAGCAGUGGGGAAUAUUGCACAAUGGGCGGAAGCCUGAGGCAGCGGCGCCGCGUGCGGGAUGACGGCCUUCGGGUUGUAAACCGCUUUCGCCUGUGACGAAGCGUGAGUGACGGUAAUGGGUAAAGAAGCACCGGCUAACUACGUG